This 70-nucleotide transfer RNA is filed under the name Tetraponera aethiops. Its description in RNAcentral is "tRNA-Gln". The record is from RNAcentral. Lineage: Eukaryota; Metazoa; Arthropoda; Insecta; Hymenoptera; Formicidae.
UAUACUUAAAUGUAAAGAAGCAUGAUAAUUUUUGAUUUUAUAAGGGUUAGUUUAAUUCUAGCAAGUGUAA